CACGUGGGUAACCUACCUAUAAGACUGGGAUAACUCCGGGAAACCGGGGCUAAUACCGGAUAAUAUUUUGAACCGCAUGGUUCAAUAGUGAAAGACGGUUUCGGCUGUCACUUAUAGAUGGACCCGCGCCGUAUUAGCUAGUUGGUAAGGUAACGGCUUACCAAGGCGACGAUACGUAGCCGACCUGAGAGGGUGAUCGGCCACACUGGAACUGAGACACGGUCCAGACUCCUACGGGAGGCAGCAGUAGGGAAUCUUCCGCAAUGGGCGAAAGCCUGACGGAGCAACGCCGCGUGAGUGAUGAAGGUCUUCGGAUCGUAAAACUCUGUUGUUAGGGAAGAACAAAUUUGUUAGUAACUGAACAAGUCUUGACGGUACCUAACCAGAAAGCCACGGCUAACUACGUGCCAGCAGCCGCGGUAAUACGUAGGUGGCAAGCGUUAUCCGGAAUUAUUGGGCGUAAAGCGCGCGUAGGCGGUUUCUUAAGUCUGAUGUGAAAGCCCACGGCUC
This 510-nucleotide ribosomal RNA is filed under the name Staphylococcus sp. SCAUE9002. RNAcentral describes it as "bacterial SSU rRNA". It matches the Rfam family "Bacterial small subunit ribosomal RNA", at positions 114 to 610 of the family's 1533-position model. Lineage: Bacteria; Bacillati; Bacillota; Bacilli; Caryophanales; Staphylococcaceae. The record is from RNAcentral.